Molecule: ribosomal RNA, 194 nt
Filed under: Staphylococcus xylosus
Lineage: Bacteria; Bacillati; Bacillota; Bacilli; Caryophanales; Staphylococcaceae
Also listed under: 2 other names
Description: partial 16S ribosomal RNA
Rfam family: Bacterial small subunit ribosomal RNA
Source: RNAcentral
CCUACGGGAGGCAGCAGUAGGGAAUCUUCCGCAAUGGGCGAAAGCCUGACGGAGCAACGCCGCGUGAGUGAUGAAGGGUUUCGGCUCGUAAAACUCUGUUAUUAGGGAAGAACAUAUGUGUAAGUAACUGUGCACAUCUUGACGGUACCUAAUCAGAAAGCCACGGCUAACUACGUGCCAGCAGCCGCGGUAAU